CCCUUAGAUGUUCUGGGCUGCACACGUGCUACACUGGCAGGCUCAGCGAGCUUCAUGCCCUGAUCUGAAAGGAAUGGGAAAUCUUUUCAAAACCUGCCGUGCUUGGGAUAGAUGUUUGCAAUUAUUCAUCUUCAACGAGGAUUGCCUUGUAAGCGUACGUCAUCAGCGUGCAUUGAAUACGACCCUGUAUUCUGUACACACCGCCCGUCGCUCCUACCGAUUGAAGUUUUCGGUGAGUUGACAGGAGGAUUUUUUUGAAACUGGUUCGCCAGUGGAUUUUAGAUCCAAAUGCCAACGAAUCGAUGGCUUUAGAGGAAGGAGAAGUCGUAACA
RNAcentral lists this ribosomal RNA (332 nucleotides) under uncultured eukaryote. RNAcentral describes it as "partial 18S ribosomal RNA". It matches the Rfam family "Eukaryotic small subunit ribosomal RNA", at positions 1470 to 1796 of the family's 1831-position model. The record is from RNAcentral.